Molecule: ribosomal RNA, 517 nt
Filed under: uncultured bacterium
Lineage: Bacteria
Description: bacterial SSU rRNA
Rfam family: Bacterial small subunit ribosomal RNA
Source: RNAcentral
GAACUUUCCAGAGAUGGAUUGGUGCCUUCGGGAACUUAGAUACAGGUGCUGCAUGGCUGUCGUCAGCUCGUGUCGUGAGAUGUUGGGUUAACGUCCGCAACGAGCGCAACCCUUUUCCUUAUUUGCCAGCGGGUAAUGCCGGGAACUUUAAGGAUACUGCCAGUGACAAACUGGAGGAAGGCGGGGACGACGUCAAGUCAUCAUGGCCCUUACGGCCAGGGCUACACACGUGCUACAAUGGUCGGUACAAAGGGUUGCUACCUCGCGAGAGGAUGCUAAUCUCAAAAAGCCGAUCGUAGUCCGGAUCGCAGUCUGCAACUCGACUGCGUGAAGUCGGAAUCGCUAGUAAUCGCGGAUCAGAAUGCCGCGGUGAAUACGUUCCCGGGCCUUGUACACACCGCCCGUCACACCAUGGGAGUUUGUUGCACCAGAAGUAGGUAGUCUAACCGCAAGGAGGACGCUUACCACGGUGUGGCCGAUGACUGGGGUGAAGUCGUAACAAGGUAAGCGUAGAUGA